Molecule: ribosomal RNA, 2786 nt
Filed under: Escherichia coli
Lineage: Bacteria; Pseudomonadati; Pseudomonadota; Gammaproteobacteria; Enterobacterales; Enterobacteriaceae
Description: bacterial LSU rRNA
Rfam family: Bacterial large subunit ribosomal RNA
Source: RNAcentral
AGCGUACACGGUGGAUGCCCUGGCAGUCAGAGGCGAUGAAGGACGUGCUAAUCUGCGAUAAGCGUCGGUAAGGUGAUAUGAACCGUUAUAACCGGCGAUUUCCGAAUGGGGAAACCCAGUGUGAUUCGUCACACUAUCAUUAACUGAAUCCAUAGGUUAAUGAGGCGAACCGGGGGAACUGAAACAUCUAAGUACCCCGAGGAAAAGAAAUCAACCGAGAUUCCCCCAGUAGCGGCGAGCGAACGGGGAGCAGCCCAGAGCCUGAAUCAGUGUGUGUGUUAGUGGAAGCGUCUGGAAAGGCGCGCGAUACAGGGUGACAGCCCCGUACACAAAAAUGCACAUGCUGUGAGCUCGAUGAGUAGGGCGGGACACGUGGUAUCCUGUCUGAAUAUGGGGGGACCAUCCUCCAAGGCUAAAUACUCCUGACUGACCGAUAGUGAACCAGUACCGUGAGGGAAAGGCGAAAAGAACCCCGGCGAGGGGAGUGAAAAAGAACCUGAAACCGUGUACGUACAAGCAGUGGGAGCACGCUUAGGCGUGUGACUGCGUACCUUUUGUAUAAUGGGUCAGCGACUUAUAUUCUGUAGCAAGGUUAACCGAAUAGGGGAGCCGAAGGGAAACCGAGUCUUAACUGGGCGUUAAGUUGCAGGGUAUAGACCCGAAACCCGGUGAUCUAGCCAUGGGCAGGUUGAAGGUUGGGUAACACUAACUGGAGGACCGAACCGACUAAUGUUGAAAAAUUAGCGGAUGACUUGUGGCUGGGGGUGAAAGGCCAAUCAAACCGGGAGAUAGCUGGUUCUCCCCGAAAGCUAUUUAGGUAGCGCCUCGUGAAUUCAUCUCCGGGGGUAGAGCACUGUUUCGGCAAGGGGGUCAUCCCGACUUACCAACCCGAUGCAAACUGCGAAUACCGGAGAAUGUUAUCACGGGAGACACACGGCGGGUGCUAACGUCCGUCGUGAAGAGGGAAACAACCCAGACCGCCAGCUAAGGUCCCAAAGUCAUGGUUAAGUGGGAAACGAUGUGGGAAGGCCCAGACAGCCAGGAUGUUGGCUUAGAAGCAGCCAUCAUUUAAAGAAAGCGUAAUAGCUCACUGGUCGAGUCGGCCUGCGCGGAAGAUGUAACGGGGCUAAACCAUGCACCGAAGCUGCGGCAGCGACACUAUGUGUUGUUGGGUAGGGGAGCGUUCUGUAAGCCUGUGAAGGUGUACUGUGAGGUAUGCUGGAGGUAUCAGAAGUGCGAAUGCUGACAUAAGUAACGAUAAAGCGGGUGAAAAGCCCGCUCGCCGGAAGACCAAGGGUUCCUGUCCAACGUUAAUCGGGGCAGGGUGAGUCGACCCCUAAGGCGAGGCCGAAAGGCGUAGUCGAUGGGAAACAGGUUAAUAUUCCUGUACUUGGUGUUACUGCGAAGGGGGGACGGAGAAGGCUAUGUUGGCCGGGCGACGGUUGUCCCGGUUUAAGCGUGUAGGCUGGUUUUCCAGGCAAAUCCGGAAAAUCAAGGCUGAGGCGUGAUGACGAGGCACUACGGUGCUGAAGCAACAAAUGCCCUGCUUCCAGGAAAAGCCUCUAAGCAUCAGGUAACAUCAAAUCGUACCCCAAACCGACACAGGUGGUCAGGUAGAGAAUACCAAGGCGCUUGAGAGAACUCGGGUGAAGGAACUAGGCAAAAUGGUGCCGUAACUUCGGGAGAAGGCACGCUGAUAUGUAGGUGAAGCGACUUGCUCGUGGAGCUGAAAUCAGUCGAAGAUACCAGCUGGCUGCAACUGUUUAUUAAAAACACAGCACUGUGCAAACACGAAAGUGGACGUAUACGGUGUGACGCCUGCCCGGUGCCGGAAGGUUAAUUGAUGGGGUCAGCGCAAGCGAAGCUCUUGAUCGAAGCCCCGGUAAACGGCGGCCGUAACUAUAACGGUCCUAAGGUAGCGAAAUUCCUUGUCGGGUAAGUUCCGACCUGCACGAAUGGCGUAAUGAUGGCCAGGCUGUCUCCACCCGAGACUCAGUGAAAUUGAACUCGCUGUGAAGAUGCAGUGUACCCGCGGCAAGACGGAAAGACCCCGUGAACCUUUACUAUAGCUUGACACUGAACAUUGAGCCUUGAUGUGUAGGAUAGGUGGGAGGCUUGGAAGUGUGGACGCCAGUCUGCAUGGAGCCGACCUUGAAAUACCACCCUUUAAUGUUUGAUGUUCUAACGUGGACCCGUGAUCCGGGUUGCGGACAGUGUCUGGUGGGUAGUUUGACUGGGGCGGUCUCCUCCUAAAGAGUAACGGAGGAGCACGAAGGUUGGCUAAUCCUGGUCGGACAUCAGGAGGUUAGUGCAAUGGCAUAAGCCAGCUUGACUGCGAGCGUGACGGCGCGAGCAGGUGCGAAAGCAGGUCAUAGUGAUCCGGUGGUUCUGAAUGGAAGGGCCAUCGCUCAACGGAUAAAAGGUACUCCGGGGAUAACAGGCUGAUACCGCCCAAGAGUUCAUAUCGACGGCGGUGUUUGGCACCUCGAUGUCGGCUCAUCACAUCCUGGGGCUGAAGUAGGUCCCAAGGGUAUGGCUGUUCGCCAUUUAAAGUGGUACGCGAGCUGGGUUUAGAACGUCGUGAGACAGUUCGGUCCCUAUCUGCCGUGGGCGCUGGAGAACUGAGGGGGGCUGCUCCUAGUACGAGAGGACCGGAGUGGACGCAUCACUGGUGUUCGGGUUGUCAUGCCAAUGGCACUGCCCGGUAGCUAAAUGCGGAAGAGAUAAGUGCUGAAAGCAUCUAAGCACGAAACUUGCCCCGAGAUGAGUUCUCCCUGACUCCUUGA